Molecule: non-coding RNA, 112 nt
Organism: Acanthosepion pharaonis
Lineage: Eukaryota; Metazoa; Mollusca; Cephalopoda; Sepiida; Sepiidae
Source: the annotation of a GenBank genome assembly
AUGGCUAUAUCACAUUGAAACACUGGUUCUCGUAUAAUCACUGAAGUUAAGCUACAUCACGCUUCAUCAGUAUCUAGAUGGGUGAUCACUUGGGAAUGCCCGGUGCUGUAAG